CAGCACUGGCUCCACUUGGUCAGUGUGGUUUUGCCUUUAUGGGGGUGGAGUUCACCUCAGCUGUGGACGGCAAAUAACCCUGUACAAAGAGGAAUGGAGAUUGCCUCUAUCCACCUAGAUUCAUAGGCUGCCCAGAGGCGAUCUUGGCAUCAAGGAAGGGAGCACUGAGGCACAUUGCACCAUCAGCUUCAGAGGAUGGCAGCCACUGAUUUGUCCCAUGGGUUUUUUUCUGGGGAACCAAUCUGCCCUUUUGAAGAAAAGACAAAGGUAGAAAGGAUGGUGGUGGACUACCUGGCAAAUGGUUGUCAGAAAGGGAAAUACAUCCUAGAACCAAAUGGUCAUCACUUCAGCAGGGUUUUUUGAAGAAUCAAAUAUUCAAUGGGAUAUGAAUGACAAGAGCCUACAGUGGAUGGAAACUCUGUGACUGUAAGAAUUGUGGAGAGGUCUUCAGUGAACAGUUUUGCCUUAAGACACAUGUGAGAGCUCAGAAUGAAGGGAACACUUCUCAGGGUAAUUGUUAUGGAAAAGAUGUCCUCAGUGUGCACAAGAAAGCUUCUAUUGGACAGGAACUUUCCAAAUUAAAUACAUGUGGAAAAAUCUUUGCUCUAACUGCAGGCUUUACUGUACAUCUUGAAAUUCUCAAUGCAAGACAAUCCUACAAAUGCAAGGAAUGUGGAAAAGGCUUUAAGUAUUUUGUGAGCCUUGAUAAUCACACGGAAAUCCACACUGGUGAGAAACUGUGAAUUUCAGGAUGUGGGAGAGCCAUCACAGCUUCCUCACACCUAAAGCAGUGUGUAACAGUUCAUACAGGAAAGAAAUCCAAAAAGACUAAGAAAUGUGGGAAAUCCUUCACUAAUUUUUCUCAACUUUAUACACAUGUGAAAACUCAUAAAGGAGAGAAGUCCUUUGAACGUAAAGAAUGUGGAAGAUCCUUUAGAAAUUCCUCAUGCCUUAAUAAUCACAUUCAAAUUCACACUGGAGUAAAACCAACAAGUGUACGUACUGUGGGAAAGCCUUCACUAGAUCAAAUCAACUUUAUUGAACCUGUAAGAACCCACACUGGAAUAAAACCCUAUGAAUGUAAGGAAUGUGGCCAAGCCUUCGCUCGGUACUCGGGCCUUUCUACACACAUAUGAAGUCACAGUAGAAAGAAACCCUAUCAGUAUAAGGAAUGUGGGAAAGCCUUCACUAUGCCCACAAGCCUUAUUCAACAUACAAGAAUUCACACAGGAGAGAAGCCUUAUGAAUGUGUUGAAUGUGGGAAGACCUUCAUUACUUCUUCCCGUCACAGUAAACAUUUUAAAAUCCAUAGUGGAGAAAAGCCCUUUGUAUGCAAGAUAUGUGGCAAAGCAUUUCUGUAUUCCUUACGCCUUAAUGUUCACCUGUGAACUCAUAAUGGAAAGAAACCCUUCGUAUGUAAAGAAUGUGGGAAAGCAUUUGCUGUUUCCUCACACCUAAGUAGACAUGAAAGAAUUCACACUGCAGAGAAACCCUAUGAAUGUAAGGGUAUGAGUGUUAUCAUUUAG
Molecule: RNA transcript, 1526 nt
Organism: Mandrillus leucophaeus (drill)
Lineage: Eukaryota; Metazoa; Chordata; Mammalia; Primates; Cercopithecidae
Gene name: zinc finger protein 561-like
Exons: 1
Source: RefSeq, a predicted model, not a curated record